Molecule: ribosomal RNA, 593 nt
Filed under: uncultured bacterium
Lineage: Bacteria
Description: bacterial SSU rRNA
Rfam family: Bacterial small subunit ribosomal RNA
Source: RNAcentral
GAGUUUGAUCCUGGCUCAGGACGAACGCUGGCGGCGUGCCUAACACAUGCAAGUCGAACGAAGCUUGAAUUCAGAUUUCUUCGGAAUGAAGAAUGAUAUGACUGAGUGGCGGACGGGUGAGUAACGCGUGAGCAACCUGCCCUUCGGAGGGGGAUAGUGUCUGGAAACGGACAGUAAUACCGCAUAACGUAUUUUUACCGCAUGAUAGAAAUACCAAAACUGAGGUGCCGAAGGAUGGGCUCGCGUUGGAUUAGAUAGUUGGUGGGGUAACGGCCUACCAAGUCAACGAUCCAUAGCCGGACUGAGAGGUUGAACGGCCACAUUGGGACUGAGACACGGCCCAGACUCCUACGGGAGGCAGCAGUGGGGAAUAUUGCACAAUGGGGGAAACCCUGAUGCAGCAACGCCGCGUGAAGGAAGACGGUUUUCGGAUUGUAAACUUCUGUUCUUAGUGAAGAAAAAUGACGGUAGCUAAGGAGCAAGCCACGGCUAACUACGUGCCAGCAGCCGCGGUAAUACGUAGGUGGCAAGCGUUGUCCGGAAUUACUGGGUGUAAAGGGAGCGCAGGCGGUGCGGCAAGUCUGAUGUGAAAG